Girardinichthys multiradiatus is the source of this 503-nucleotide long non-coding RNA. RefSeq lists it as uncharacterized. The record is from RefSeq and is a predicted model, not a curated record. NCBI's taxonomy places the organism in Eukaryota, Metazoa, Chordata, Actinopteri, Cyprinodontiformes, Goodeidae. The transcript has 3 exons.
CGGGAGUGUCAUGCUGUGCUGGUCCACCAGAGGUCGUCCUCGAGCCGCAACAUGCUCCUAAUACAGGUGUUCCUGAUCUACGGCUAAUUGUGGGUGCCUUGGAGGAGUACGUAGGAGCCAGCCACCAGUCCUUCGAUGCCUGAGUGUUUUGCUCAUGUGUACCUGUGAGGUGUGGGCAGAUUAUUGCUACCCUGACCUUGAUCAAACCUGGACUCCCUACUGACAGUUUGUGACUUUGGAUUUCCUGCAAUUUUGGAUGUUGACUUGGCUCCUAAACCUCCAAGGAUGUUGUCCCUGGGAGAACUCACACCUGGCGUGGAUAUCGUACUGCUGAAUCACCUCCUGGACUACCGGACUCCCAACCUCCUCAGAAGCCCUCCCUGGUUCAGUAACAACCUGAGACCAAAGAAUCCUAGAAGCCUGUGUUCCUACCUGUGGUUGCCUGACCAAGGAGCCCAUGAACUUAAAUCUGAGCUGUUCAAAUAAAUCUUUUCUCAACUUUA